Molecule: non-coding RNA, 409 nt
Organism: Dama dama (fallow deer)
Lineage: Eukaryota; Metazoa; Chordata; Mammalia; Artiodactyla; Cervidae
Source: the annotation of a RefSeq genome assembly
GGCCACAGAAGGCAGGACGCCCUGACCAUGUCCACCAUGGCCUGGUCCCCUCUGCUCCUCACCCUGGUCGCUCUCUGCACAGGAUCCUGGGCGCAGGCUGUGCUGACUCAGCCGUCCUCUGUGUCCGGGUCUCCGGGCCAGAGGGUCAGCAUCACCUGCUCUGGAAGCAGCAACAACAUUGGUUACGGUUAUGUGGCCUGGUACCAACAGCUCCCAGGAUCAGCCCCCAGAACCCUCAUGUAUGGUACUAACAGUAGAGCCUCGGGGGUCCCCGACCGAUUCUCUGGCUCCAGGUCUGGGAACACAGCCACCCUGACCAUCAGUUCGCUCCAGGCUGAGGACGAGGGGGAUUAUUACUGUUCAUCUGUUGACAGUAGUAGUUAAAAUGGCACAGUGCUCCAGGCCAGGG